GGCUCCGUGGCGGAAUGGCAGACGCGGCGGAUUUAAAAUCCGCGGCCCGCAAGGGCGUCCCGGUUCGACCCCGGGCGGAGCUA
Molecule: transfer RNA, 83 nt
Filed under: Myxococcales bacterium
Lineage: Bacteria; Pseudomonadati; Myxococcota; Myxococcia; Myxococcales
Description: tRNA-Leu
Rfam family: tRNA
About the family: Transfer RNA (tRNA) molecules are approximately 80 nucleotides in length. Their secondary structure includes four short double-helical elements and three loops (D, anti-codon, and T loops). Further hydrogen bonds mediate the characteristic L-shaped molecular structure. tRNAs have two regions of fundamental functional importance: the anti-codon, which is responsible for specific mRNA codon recognition, and the 3' end, to which the tRNAs corresponding amino acid is attached (by aminoacyl-tRNA synthetases). tRNAs cope with the degeneracy of the genetic code in two manners: having more than one tRNA (with a specific anti-codon) for a particular amino acid; and 'wobble' base-pairing, i.e. permitting non-standard base-pairing at the 3rd anti-codon position.
Source: RNAcentral